GGGGUUGUGGCUCAGUGGUAGAGCUCUUGCUUAGCAUGUGUGAGGCACUGGGUUCAAUUCCCAGCACCACA
Molecule: transfer RNA, 71 nt
Filed under: Marmota monax (woodchuck)
Lineage: Eukaryota; Metazoa; Chordata; Mammalia; Rodentia; Sciuridae
Description: tRNA.Ala
Rfam family: tRNA
About the family: Transfer RNA (tRNA) molecules are approximately 80 nucleotides in length.
Source: RNAcentral